Molecule: microRNA precursor, 90 nt
Organism: Gorilla gorilla gorilla (western lowland gorilla)
Lineage: Eukaryota; Metazoa; Chordata; Mammalia; Primates; Hominidae
Rfam family: mir-663 microRNA precursor family
Source: Rfam
CCGUCCGGCGUCCUAGGCGGGGCGCCGCGGGACCUCCCUCCUGUCUGUGGCGGUGGGGUCCCGUGGCCGUGUUUUCCUGGUGGCCCGGCC